AUAGUUUUUGAAGGCCAGAUACUGCGGCAGCGCUCCCUAGGCCGUCACCCGUUAUGAACGAGGCAUGCGGCAGCGGCGACGAUCUAGCUGACGUAGCGGUCAUAAUACACCUGUAGGCUACUGUUGUUUGUAAUCUGUAAGUCGAACUGACUCCGCAGUACAGUACGAUCGUAUGCAUCGAAACUCCACAUCACUUUAAAGGCAUAUUAAUCUGAAGCUGUAUAUAUUGAAAGGAAACUUCCGUGAUUCUGUAUAUCUUUGCCUGAACUUUUAUGCCACAUAUUUUGUUUUAUACAACAUAAGCCAGCGCCAGCUAGUCAGCUGAUGAAUUCGUCGAGUGUAGCGGACAACGCCCACACACCCUGCCGGAGUUUCCCCGUUCUAAAAACACCGCGACGAUCUGCGAUCAAAGGGGGAAUACCAGCCCAUUAUAAGGGACUAUAUAUAUAUCAACACAACCGCAUAGAUUGAAGCCAUCUUGUGUGCUAUCCUUUUGUUGUUGUUCAUGGAUAUCGUUUGGAGGGGGAAUACCAGCCCAUUAUAAGGGACUAUAUAUAUAUCAACACAACCGCAUAGAUUGAAGCCAUCUUGUGUGCUAUGCUGUAGGGGUUGUUCAUGGAUAUAUAUAACAUUUGGAGGUAAGUUAAUGACACAUUUGUCUCAUAUUUUUUGUUUCAUCUACUUGACUGUCACAUACUCAUGUAAUUGCAAAUGAUAUGUGACAGCAGCAUACAUGUACAUACAGCAAGAUGAAAAUUAUGUGGGAGGAGACUGGGGUGCACAAGCUCAUAUCUUCAGUACCCCACAACCCUAAAACAAAAUAUUGCUGUCUCCUAACCUACAUGUAUCAAUUGUCUUUUUGAAGCCAGAAGAGU
Molecule: long non-coding RNA, 875 nt
Organism: Strongylocentrotus purpuratus (purple sea urchin)
Lineage: Eukaryota; Metazoa; Echinodermata; Echinoidea; Camarodonta; Strongylocentrotidae
Exons: 3
Source: RefSeq, a predicted model, not a curated record